RNAcentral lists this ribosomal RNA (447 nucleotides) under uncultured bacterium. RNAcentral describes it as "bacterial SSU rRNA". It matches the Rfam family "Bacterial small subunit ribosomal RNA", at positions 355 to 825 of the family's 1533-position model. The record is from RNAcentral.
UCGGGAAUUUUGGGCAAUGGGCGAAAGCCUGACCCAGCCAUGCCGCGUGAGUGACGAAGGUCUUCGGAUUGUAAAGCUCUUUUGGCGGGGACGAUAAUGACGGUACCCGCAGAAUAAGCCCCGGCUAACUUCGUGCCAGCAGCCGCGGUAAUACGAAGGGGGCUAGCGUUGUUCGGAAUCACUGGGCGUAAAGCGCACGUAGGCGGAUUUGUUAGUCAGGGGUGAAAUCCCGGGGCUCAACCUCGGAAUUGCCUCUGAUACUGCAAAUCUCGAGUCCGAUAGAGGUGAGUGGAAUUCCUAGUGUAGAGGUGAAAUUCGUAGAUAUUAGGAAGAACACCAGUGGCGAAGGCGGCUCACUGGAUCGGUACUGACGCUGAGGUGCGAAAGCGUGGGGAGCAAACAGGAUUAGAUACCCUUGUAGUCCCUGAGCGGGCUGGCAAGGCGCAU